CAGUAGGUGGAUGAGUGUGUGUAACGAGUGUAUUAAUGUGUGUGAGGGAAAUAAAGGGGUGUGAGGUAUGACGGGCCAGCCUGCCGCAGCUCACCCCUGGCCUGUUAAACCUUCCGUCAGACUUAAACUAGGCAGUGGCGGUUAGGUCUGACCAGCGGACAUGAAAGCAUAGUCAUGUGGCUCCAUUCACUGCCACGGGUGACUUAUGGUGACGAGAAAUAAAUUAAAUAAUGGCUAAUAUAUACGGACGUCCGGAUCAUCAGUCUGCUUAUAUUUUUUAAAAAGUUGAAUUUUGGCGGGUUUUCAUUUCACGGAAGAGUUCAUUUGUUAAUAUUUCGUCAUGCGGGUUACGUUGAAACUAAAUAUUACGAGUAUGACUAAAUAAAAAGCCGAAAUAAUGUAAAAAAAAAUAUAAAAAAUAAUGAAGGUACCGUGGAUUGGCAACACUUCCGAUGUAAACAGACAGCUGAUCACGGGUCCUGAGGCAGGCAAGGAGAUAAAAAUAAUAAUAAACGAAGGAAAUAGGUUAUUACCACGUAGUGUGUAAUGGCUUAAACUAUAAUAAAACCUAAAUUUUUAUAGGCCUGGCAUUUCAGUGGGAUUUCUGUUUUUAUUGGAUUUUUUGUUGCCCUUGGCUCGUGUCACUCCUUCAGAAAAAGGAGAAAAGGUGGACUUGGAAUCUCUCAGGGGAAACUACAUGUAGUAAUUGAAUUAAAAUGGCUAGAACCAGAGGAUGGGGUUGUGCGUCCCCGGGAGUUCAGAGGGUGCCGGCGCUUCAACUGAUGGUGUGGACCCAUGAGACAGAGGCUCCACCAGGUGGUAACACAAGCAGCGGGUGGAAGAGACCUUGGGAGACUUCCGUAACUCAGAAGCAAGAAGCUGGAGCCUUGUGACUGACUGGUGGUUUUGACUGCAGGCACCAACAUUCAGGGUAACAGGGACGUGAGGGGUCUCCAGCAGCAUGCCUGAAGAUACUUGUGUGUGGACGAGGGACACACACUCAAGAACCACAAGUCCCUGAACACCUUUCCCCCCAUGAACUGGCUGCUGUUUACUGGGACACACCCUUGCAGAACAGCCUGGCGGAGCUCUGGGCCCUUCUGAACUUCCUAAUGCUGGAUAAUUUUGAGUCCUUGUCCAAUGUGAGUGAGAUGCAGGAGGGAAGUGAGGAGAGGACUCUGAGGGCAGGAAUGGGAGGGCCAGGCCAUCUCCACUCUAAUGAAGAUAAGAGAGAGGGAAUGUGGGUGUGUUUGGGAGUGUUUUGGUGGCUUUGGGUAGGUUUGGGUGUGUUUGGGGAGUUUUUUAUGAUUAUUUAAAGAGGUUUUUUUGGGCUGGAGAGGAGUUUUUUGGGCUGGAGAGGAGUUUUUUGGGCUGGAGAGAAUUUUUUUGGGGGGUCUGGAGAGGAGCUUUUUGGGCUGGAGAGAAAUGUUUUGGGCUGGAGAGAAGGUUAUGUUUUGGGCUGGAGAGAAGGUUUUGUGGGCUGGAGAGAAGGUUUUGUGGGCUGGAGGGAAGUUUUUUUUGGGCUGGAGAGGAGUUUUUUGGGCUGGAGAGGAUCGUUUCAGGUCAGGUGGUUAAACACUACCGUCUAUCUAGUGGCUAUUGUAGGCUGUAUCUCUCUCUCUCUCUCUCUCUCUCUCUCUCUCUCUCUCUCUCUCUCUCUCUCUCUCUCUCUCUCUCUCUCUCUCUCUCUCUCUC
Molecule: long non-coding RNA, 1695 nt
Organism: Scylla paramamosain (green mud crab)
Lineage: Eukaryota; Metazoa; Arthropoda; Malacostraca; Decapoda; Portunidae
Exons: 5
Source: RefSeq, a predicted model, not a curated record